Pelobates cultripes (western spadefoot toad) is the source of this 205-nucleotide non-coding RNA. The record is from the annotation of a GenBank genome assembly. NCBI's taxonomy places the organism in Eukaryota, Metazoa, Chordata, Amphibia, Anura, Pelobatidae.
AAGUGACCCUAUGUAGGGGGAACAGUCUCUAUUCUGCUCUUUGUCAGUGUGUAUCAGGGAUCCUUAGGAUAGGUGUCAAUCCAUAUCUGCCAAGUGACCCUAUGUAGGGGGACCAGUCCCUAUUCUGCUCUGUGUCCGUGUGCAUCAGGGGCUCUGAGGACAGGUGUCAAUCCAUAUGUCAAGGUGUCAAUAUGUCAUAUGUCAG